GAUGAACGCUGGCGGCGUGCCUAAUACAUGCAAGUCGAGCGAACAGACGAGGAGCUUGCUUCUCUGACGUUAGCGGCGGACGGGUGAGUAACACGUGGAUAACCUACCUAUAAGACUGGGAUAACUUCGGGAAACCGGAGCUAAUACCGGAUAAUAUAUUGAACCGCAUGGUUCAAUAGUGAAAGACGGUUUUGCUGUCACUUAUAGAUGGAUCCGCGCCGCAUUAGCUAGUUGGUAAGGUAACGGCUUACCAAGGCAACGAUGCGUAGCCGACCUGAGAGGGUGAUCGGCCACACUGGAACUGAGACACGGUCCAGACUCCUACGGGAGGCAGCAGUAGGGAAUCUUCCGCAAUGGGCGAAAGCCUGACGGAGCAACGCCCCGUGAGUGAUGAAGGUCUUCGGAUCGUAAAACUCUGUUAUUAGGGAAGAACAAAUGUGUAAGUAACUAUGCACGUCUUGACGGUACCUAAUCAGAAAGCCACGGCUAACUACGUG
RNAcentral lists this ribosomal RNA (497 nucleotides) under uncultured bacterium. Its description in RNAcentral is "partial 16S ribosomal RNA". It matches the Rfam family "Bacterial small subunit ribosomal RNA", at positions 28 to 507 of the family's 1533-position model. The record is from RNAcentral.